Molecule: ribosomal RNA, 301 nt
Filed under: uncultured bacterium
Lineage: Bacteria
Description: bacterial SSU rRNA
Rfam family: Bacterial small subunit ribosomal RNA
Source: RNAcentral
GGAUUAGAUACCCUGGUAGUCCACGCCGUAAACGAUGUGCACUAGGUCGAGGGGGUUUGACGCCGCUCUCGGCUGAAGCGAAAGUGUUAAGUGCACCGCCUGGGGAGUACGGCCGCAAGGCUAAAACUCAAAGGAAUUGACGGGGGCUCACACAAGCGGUGGAGCAUGUGGCUUAAUUCGAAGCAACGCGAAGAACCUUAUCCUGGGUUUGACAUGCAUGGAUUAGCUUCCUGAAAGGGAAGUGACGCGGCUUGCCGUGGAACAUGCACAGGUGCUGCAUGGCUGUCGUCAGCUCGUGCCG